This 1259-nucleotide long non-coding RNA is filed under the name Coturnix japonica (Japanese quail). Its description in RNAcentral is "lncRNA (ENSCJPG00005002553.1)". The record is from RNAcentral. Lineage: Eukaryota; Metazoa; Chordata; Aves; Galliformes; Phasianidae.
UCUGUCUCCCAAUGUAAAAAUGGCGGUUUUGGGCCCCCCAUACAAUAAAUGUCGUUUCGAGCUCCCCCCCCCAUACAAAAAACUGGACGGUUUCGAGUCCCCCCCCAUACAUUAAAUGUCAGUUUCGAGUCCCCCCCCAUACAAAACUGUCGGUUUCGGGUCCCCCGGCAGCAGUUUGGGCACUGAUGGGCGUCCCCCCCAAACCAACGGUUUAUAGGCCCCCCCGCACUUAUGGGCAGGGAUGGGUGCCCCCCCCCGGCACUUAUGGGGCAGCUAUGGGGCAGGGAUGGGUGCCCCCCCGCAACUUAUGGGCAGCUAUGGGCAGGGCAUGGGUGCCCCCCCCGGCACUUAUUGGGCACCUAUGGCAGGAUGGGUGCCCCCCCCGGCACUUAAUGGGCAGAGCUAGGGGCAGAAGGAUGGGUGCCCCCCCUGGCACGUAUGGGGACAAGCUAUGGAGGAUUGGGUGCCCCCCCCCCGCACUUUGGGCAGCUAAUGGGGAGGGAUGGGUGCCCCCCCUGGCUUUAAUGGGCAGCUAUGGGGCAGGAUGGAUGUUUUUCCACACCCGUGGUUGGUUAUGGUGCGGUUAUGGGCAGCUGUGGCGUCCCCAACUCGGGUUAUGGGCGGAUCUGGAGGUUCGGGUGUUCCCCCGGCAGCCCGCUAAUGGGGGCAGGGAUGGAAGAUAUGGGGCAGGGAAUGGAAGAUAUGGGGCAGGGAUGGAAGAUAUGGGGCAGGGAUGGAGGAUAUGGGGCAGGGAUGGAAGAUAUGGGGCAGGGAUGGAAGAUAUGGGGCAGGGGAUGGAAGAUAUGGGCAGGAUGGACAGAUAUGGGCAGGAAUGGAAGCUAUGGGUCACCCCCCACGCGCAGCGCAGUUAUGCGGCAAUUGAUGUGUUUGUUAUGGCUUUAUAGGGCAGCAUAUAGGCAAGCCUAUGGGGCAGCUAUUUGGCAGCUAUGGGCAGCUAAUGGGCAACUAUUAGGGCAGCUAUGGGCGUUAUAGGGCCACUAUAGGGCAUCUGUAGACCCCGUGCCGCUAUUGGGCAGCUAUGGGUCAUUAUAAGGCAGUUAUAGGGUGGCUAUGGGGCAGCUAUAGGGCCGCUAUGGGGCAGCUAUAGGGCAGCUAUGGGGCCACUAUAGGGCAUCUGUAGGGCUGCUAUGGGGCAGCUAUGGGUCAUUAUAAGGCAGUUAUAGGGUGGGCUAUGGGGCAGCUAUAGGGCCGCUUUGGGGCAAGCUAAGGGCAGCUCAUGGCCACAUAUAGCGGCAUCU